This 220-nucleotide ribosomal RNA is filed under the name uncultured bacterium. RNAcentral's name for it is "partial 16S ribosomal RNA". It matches the Rfam family "Bacterial small subunit ribosomal RNA", at positions 1273 to 1500 of the family's 1533-position model. The record is from RNAcentral.
CCCGAAAGACCUGUCUCAGUUCGGAUUGGAGUCUGCAACCCGACUCCAUGAAGCUGGAUUCGCUAGUAAUCGCGCAUCAGCCACGGCGCGGUGAAUACGUUCCCGGGCCUUGUACACACCGCCCGUCAAGCCAUGGAAGCCGGGGGUGCCUGAAGUGCGCUGCCGCAAGGAGCGCCCUAGGGUAAAACCGGUGACUGGGGCUAAGUCGUAACAAGGUAUC